Oncorhynchus nerka (sockeye salmon) is the source of this 151-nucleotide long non-coding RNA. RefSeq lists it as uncharacterized. NCBI's taxonomy places the organism in Eukaryota, Metazoa, Chordata, Actinopteri, Salmoniformes, Salmonidae. The record is from RefSeq and is a predicted model, not a curated record. The transcript has 3 exons.
CUCACUGACUACACCCUCUAUAUCCUCACUGAGCAGCUACGACGGUUGAAAGGCUCCGACGCCUCCUGGAAGAACGACCAGGAACCACCACCAGAGGCGUUAGACUUCAGUGAUGAUGAGGCAGGAACAGAAGAUGAAAAGGAAGAAGAAG